This 433-nucleotide ribosomal RNA is filed under the name uncultured bacterium. Its description in RNAcentral is "partial 16S ribosomal RNA". It matches the Rfam family "Bacterial small subunit ribosomal RNA", at positions 29 to 507 of the family's 1533-position model. The record is from RNAcentral.
AACGAACGCUGGCGGCAUGCCUAACACAUGCAAGUCGAACGAGACCUUCGGGUCUAGUGGCGCACGGGUGCGUAACGCGUGGGAACCUGCCCUUAGGUUCGGAAUAACUCCCCGAAAGGGGUGCUAAUACCGGAUAAUGUCUUCGGUCCAAAGAUUUAUCGCCUUUGGAUGGGCCCGCGUUGGAUUAGCUAGUUGGUAGGGUUAAAGCCUGCCAAGGCGACGAUCCAUAGCUGGUCUGAGAGGAUGAUCAGCCACACCGGCACUGAGACACGGCCCAGACUCCUGCGGGAGGCAGCAGUGGGGAAUAUUGGACAAUGGGCGAAAGGCUGAUCCAGCAAUGCCGCGUGAGUGAUGAAGGCCUUAGGGUUGUAAAGCUCUUUUACCCGGGAUGAUAAUGACAGUACCGGGAGAAUAAGCUCCGGCUAACUCCGUG